RNAcentral lists this ribosomal RNA (301 nucleotides) under uncultured bacterium. Its description in RNAcentral is "partial 16S ribosomal RNA". It matches the Rfam family "Bacterial small subunit ribosomal RNA", at positions 509 to 809 of the family's 1533-position model. The record is from RNAcentral.
CAACCGCCGCGGGAAUACGAGGGGGGCAAGCGUUGUUCGGAAUUAUUGGGCGUAAAGGGUGCGUAGGCGGCUUGACAAGUCUUGUGUGAAAUCUAUGGGCUCAACCCAUAGUCUGCACGGGAAACUGUCGGGCUUGAGAAUGGGAGAGGUGAGUGGAAUUUCCGGUGUAGCGGUGAAAUGCGUAGAUAUCGGAAGGAACACCUGUGGCGAAAGCGGCUCACUGGACCAUUUCUGACGCUGAUGCACGAAAGCUAGGGGAGCAAACAGGAUUAGAUACCCGAGUAGUCCCUGUCUCUUAUAA